RNAcentral lists this ribosomal RNA (245 nucleotides) under uncultured bacterium. RNAcentral describes it as "partial 16S ribosomal RNA". It matches the Rfam family "Bacterial small subunit ribosomal RNA", at positions 89 to 334 of the family's 1533-position model. The record is from RNAcentral.
UACUUAGUGGCAAACGGGUGCGUAACGCGUAAGCAACCUGCCCUCAACUGGGGGAUAGCCCGGCGAAAGCUGGGGUAAACCCGCACGGUCCAGUGGAAUCACCUGGUUCUAUUGGUAAACAUUGAUGGGUUGAGGAGGGGCUUGCGUCUGAUUAGCUAGUUGGCGGGGUAAAGGCCCACCAAGGCUGUGAUCAGUAGGGGUUCUGAGAGGAUUGGCCCCCACAUGGGUACUGAGAUACGGACCCA